UAUAUAAAACUUCAAGUUAGAAAUAAAUUUUAUUAAAUUUUAAAUAAAUACAUAAAUACGUUUCGGGACGAAGGGGCUGUGCCCCGAAACGUAUUUAUGUAUUUGUUUGAAAUUUAAUAAAAUUUAUUUCUAACUUGAAGUUUUAUAUA
Molecule: non-coding RNA, 149 nt
Organism: Paramuricea clavata
Lineage: Eukaryota; Metazoa; Cnidaria; Anthozoa; Malacalcyonacea; Plexauridae
Source: the annotation of a GenBank genome assembly